This 124-nucleotide ribosomal RNA is filed under the name Ilyonectria sp. Its description in RNAcentral is "partial large subunit ribosomal RNA". The record is from RNAcentral. Lineage: Eukaryota; Fungi; Ascomycota; Sordariomycetes; Hypocreales; Nectriaceae.
CGGCAACAGCUCAAAUUUGAAAUCUGGCCCUCGGGUCCGAAUUGUAAUUUGUAGAGGAUGCUUUUGGUGAGGUACCUUCCGAGUUCCCUGGAACAGGAAGCCAAAGAGGGUGAGAGUCCCGUCU